Molecule: ribosomal RNA, 749 nt
Filed under: Listeria monocytogenes
Lineage: Bacteria; Bacillati; Bacillota; Bacilli; Caryophanales; Listeriaceae
Description: bacterial SSU rRNA
Rfam family: Bacterial small subunit ribosomal RNA
Source: RNAcentral
CGUAAUACAUGCAGUCGAACGAACGGAGGAAGAGCUUGCUCUUCCAAAGUUAGUGGCGGACGGGUGAGUAACACGUGGGCAACCUGCCUGUAAGUUGGGGAUAACUCCGGGAAACCGGGGCUAAUACCGAAUGAUAAAGUGUGGCGCAUGCCACGCUUUUGAAAGAUGGUUUCGGCUAUCGCUUACAGAUGGGCCCGCGGUGCAUUAGCUAGUUGGUAGGGUAAUGGCCUACCAAGGCAACGAUGCAUAGCCGACCUGAGAGGGUGAUCGGCCACACUGGGACUGAGACACGGCCCAGACUCCUACGGGAGGCAGCAGUAGGGAAUCUUCCGCAAUGGACGAAAGUCUGACGGAGCAACGCCGCGUGUAUGAAGAAGGUUUUCGGAUCGUAAAGUACUGUUGUUAGAGAAGAACAAGGAUAAGAGUAACUGCUUGUCCCUUGACGGUAUCUAACCAGAAAGCCACGGCUAACUACGUGCCAGCAGCCGCGGUAAUACGUAGGUGGCAAGCGUUGUCCGGAUUUAUUGGGCGUAAAGCGCGCGCAGGCGGUCUUUUAAGUCUGAUGUGAAAGCCCCCGGCUUAACCGGGGAGGGUCAUUGGAAACUGGAAGACUGGAGUGCAGAAGAGGAGAGUGGAAUUCCACGUGUAGCGGUGAAAUGCGUAGAUAUGUGGAGGAACACCAGUGGCGAAGGCGACUCUCUGGUCUGUAACUGACGCUGAGGCGCGAAAGCGUGGGGAGCAAACAGGAU